Tympanuchus pallidicinctus (lesser prairie-chicken) is the source of this 5053-nucleotide long non-coding RNA. RefSeq lists it as uncharacterized. The record is from RefSeq and is a predicted model, not a curated record. The transcript is spliced from 3 exons. NCBI's taxonomy places the organism in Eukaryota, Metazoa, Chordata, Aves, Galliformes, Phasianidae.
GGAUGCCAGACGUGCAGUCCAGGCACUGUGGCAGUUCCUGUUAAUAACACAGGAUGUCCAACAUGCAGGAACUUGAAGGAAAGGCAAGAAAACUGAGGAAAACUGCCUCUGUACCUUCUCUGGUACUGCCUGCAGGCCUCAGGGAGCUUGUUCUCUGGAUUCUUCCUGGUCCUAACACAGCAACUGAGAAUAUGCCAGCCCAGUCCUGCCCUCUUCUUCAAUGCUUACCUGGAGGCCAUGUGGAGCUUUGUGCCACCUGCUGGACUCCUGUUGUCCCAGCAUGAUGGCUUAGAAGAUGCAAGUCCCAGUCCUGCCUUCUUCUUCAGGACUUGCCUUGAGGCUACAGGGAGCUCAGGACCAUCCACUGGACUCCUAUUGUCCCAGCACAGCAGCUCAGAGGGCACUAGUCUCAGUCCUGCCUCCUUCAGAACUCACCUCAAGGCUGCAGGGCCCAUCCAUUGGAUUCUUCUGGUCCUAAUGCAGAAGCUUAGAAGAUGCCAGUCCUGCCCUCUUUUUGAGGGCUCAGCUGGAGGUCACAGGGAGCUCACGGCUGUCUGGUGGACUCCUCCCAUGGUCCUGGUGCAGAAGUAUAGAGGGCACCAGUCCCAGUUUCUCCCUUCUCCUCAGAGCUCGGGAAAGGAGAGAUGAGAGGUCUUGGGGAAGAAUGAGGAUGGGGAAGAAGGGCUUCUAGAGGGCAGCAGCUGGCCUAGGGGCUUUCUGGCAGAUGGUGACUGCUCAAUGCUGAGAUGGAAAUCGAGAGUCCCUGGUGCAUCACCAACAGAUGUAGCGACAUCUCCGGGCAAGCAUGGUGUCAGGCGUGAUGGAGGUGGGUCUCCCUCCAUUGGUGGUUUAUCUUCUGGAGGUGCGUCCACCUCCAUGGUCUCAAUGUUGCUCUCCAGUGGGUCUACAUCCAUUGGUUCAGCUUUGCUGAUGCUCUAUAGAAGACGAAGCUUCUUUGGUGGAGGAGGAUCCAUCCUUCUCCAGAAGGUUCCCACAAUGGGAGGAAAUGGUCUAUCCUAGGAGCUCCUUGUCUCAGGUAUAUGCUUUCCGGACAGAAGUCGGUUAGCAACUGGAGUGGCUGAAGUCCUCAGGUUUGCUCAGUGCAGAGCAGGCUGAUGGGAGGCCUAUGGCAGCUGCAGCUCUUCACAGGGAGUGGAGGGCAGCGCUCUGUAGGGACAGCGAUAGGGCCUGAGGGAAUGGAAUGGAGCUGUGUCAGGGGAGGGGCAGGUGGGGGUUAGGGACUGCACCAGAUGGUGGUGGGCAUGGCGUGGCAGUGGGCAUGGCUCCAAGCUGCUGCAGCUGAAGGAGCAUUUGCAUGUGGGUGGUCCCUUUGUGGAGCAGGGGUUGGACUUGACGACCGUCGUGGGUUCCUCCUAACUCGGGAUACUGUAUGUCCAACUAGUUUUGUAAGGGAAGGAAGCAAUGCUCCUCUUCACCCAAAAGUCCAGAUCAAGUUGCUUUCAUUUAGAACACAGAAGACCUCUAUUUCCUUCUACUGCUAGUGAAGAUCCACUCACCCAUGCCAGUAAGGAUUUUGGAAUCAGCCAUCUUUGUUGUUGUUGUUUCAUGGAAGUGUUCACUGAGUAGGAAUGACUCAAACCUGAUGAGUAAAUCGGGAACUGGGGUGAUAAGAAAACAAUCUCCAUCCUCUUAUACUUUGCUACUCUAAUACCUUUUUCUCAUUUUGGUUUAGCAGCCAACUUUGUUAAGAAAAAAAUAAUCAGGCUCAGAUUUUCCCAUAAUUCAUGAACAUAUUACAGAUGUGGUAACAGCGCCAAGAAAGCAGUUCCAGUACCAGUUCUAUGAACAGAAACUGCCAUGCAAAUACAGUUCAUUGUAAAGGAUAUAAAUUGAUCUAACAAUCUGAAAUGGUGCCACUUUCUCCUCAUUGUGAUUUGCCCGCAGUUGGUGAUAUCGCAGCACAAAUUCUGAAUAAUACUCUACUAAAGGAAAAAUGGCUUUAACAGCUUUCCUUCUUUUAUUUUUGUGUUAUUAGUUCCUUUCUUUUGAGAAAAUGAGAAUAUGAGAGAAUGCUUUUAACUUAGAACCAGAAUGUUCAUUUGUUUAUUCUUCAGUUAUUAUUAAAAUCUUCCCAAGAGUAAUUCACUGUGAUGUAACACAGUUAUUUUAUUAUAUCAAAGAAGGUGCAUCAUUUAACCCUUUCAGCACUAUUGUCAUUAUCAGUAGUUUCAGAACUACCUUGUUGAAGUCGUGCACAAUAUCUCUUUUUUUUCUCUGACCAGGACUGUGAGAGAAAGUGAUAUAGAGAGAAAAAAACAGAUCAAGCAGUAGCAUUCUCACAUUUCAUGUCAGAACAACCUGGCAAUUGCUUUCACAAGACUUCAACAAAUUCACAUGAAUUUCUGCCCCAUUUUUUUUUCUUGAGUAAGUAGAAAAUAUGACUCCAAACUUUACUGAGUAGAGUCAUUUUUCAACAAAAGUCUCUAGGACAUACACUGAAUCAGUAUUAAGUCACUUCUCACACUACUGAAGACUUCUGCCAAGUAUUACAACAGUGUCUGUCAUCAACUCAGUGGAACAAUGUUCUUUACUACUGAAUUACUGAAUUGGAUAGUAAUGGACAGAAAGCAAAACAGAACAGUUUUCCACAUGGAUUUUCUUUACUGUGUGAAGCACAGACAGUAGCGAACAUCUAGGAUUCAAUCUGUUCUUAGGUAAAUGAUAAAAAUGAGUCGACAAGACAAGGCGUAUGCCCUCUGUCACUGAUGUAAGAACAGGACAACUAGUUGCAGUAGAUAAUUGAGUAUGCAUAGUAUUAACUUCUAAAAUCAAUGUCUUAAAUGAGAAAAGAAUAAAAGGCUUAUGCCAUAAUGUUGAUCUACUAACUUUGUUUUGACGUAAGGUUACCAUAAAAAAACAUCUGGAAAGUGAACAUUUUCUUUAAGAUUAUCUGUUAAUAACAACUUAGACUUAGCAAUGGCUCUGUUUGCAGCCAUUUUCACUCUUGUAGAACCCAUCUGAUUCAAGCAUUUCUUGUAACUUUAAAUAGCUUUGAAUGUGUUCUGGCCUGAGGAGUCUGAGUAAUGUGAACAGUGCACAGUAAUGUGCAUUGAAGGGACACUGACUCUCCUUGAUUAUAAAUAUAUACUUUUUAUCUUGCAUGAUGGUAUAGUGAAUGUGUUUAAAAAAAUAAUUAAUGUUUGGGGUUAGUUCAUUUUAUUUCUUAAUUUACGGAGGCAUACCUUAACGUUUAAAAGUCUGGAAGCUUGUGCUUUUCUUUAGGAUUGCACGUUAGACUUUUCCUAUCAUCUCAACAAGGAAAAUGCAAACAAGUUGUAUAUGCCUAACACAAAAUAAUGGUAGAAACAGAUAAUCCCUUAGUGUUUAUACUUGUGCCAAAUUCCUAAGGUAUGAUACUGUAACAACAAACCACAUCAGACUAAAUGCAAUCAAUUUUACAAGCAUACCUUAUGGAAUACUUGAGUAAACUAUACAUGUGUUGAAUAGUGUUUGUUUUGCAGAUGUUCCUGUUUGUGCAUUCAUAGUUACAGGCUUCCCAUCUGAACUUACCCAUUCCACUAAAAUUUUGGCAGCAGCUCCAACGGCAAUGUCACACAGAUUGGUACUUGCUGUAUGUGUGUAGUGCCUCUAAGAAUAACAAAUAAUACUAAACAAACCUGUAACUACAAUGCUAAUGAGUAAGAUUUCCUCACUUAGCUAUAUAGUCUUUGCUGACAUACAAAAUUAGAACUAGCAAUUGCACCCCAAUUCCCAGGUUGCAUUCAAACAGAUCUGACACAAAUGGAGUGCUACUCAGGAGGGUUAAAAAAACCACAACAUUUAGGUAUAUUUUUAACAGUUGAUCAGCAGCACUAAAUCUAGAAUGAAACAGUAGGUUGGCUUAGGAUUUCAUGAUAAGAAGUAAGGUUGUUUAUAUGCCUUAAGAACAAAUUCUGCUAUUCUGGCAUAGCAAGGUUUCUGGAGUAUCAACUGAUUUCCCAGUAUCUGCACCUUCAGCCUUGAUACGGGAAUAUGAAGCAGUUCAACCAAACUAUCCGUGUUGCCCAAAACCCUGAUGGACCCUAUUUGCCUUUUAGCUACAUAUGGAUGAGAUGGCCGUGGUUAAGAAUGUGAAAGGAUCAACAAGCUAAAUAGCAUGGUGCCAGGGUGAGAAGAAAUCAGCAAGCUUUUGCAUACAUUGAUGCACUGUCUAAAGACAUGACAAUUGAAACAGUGUGAGGUUUUUUUCCUAACCCCAAGCUUUUUUUCCAUAAAAGAAAAAUGGUUACCAUCUUGACAACUGUUAUACCGGGCCUUCUGGCUACAGAAGUAAAUGACAGUCAUUUAUUGUACUAGUUCUUUUCCAGUCUCCAUUAAUUUUUUUUGUUACACUUGAGCAGAAGCAGUUGAAUGCAACUGCUACCUUAUUGAGAAAUGCAUGCCAGAGAAAAGCUCUAUGCUUCUCAGUGACAAUCCUCUAACUACUGUCUAUGUUGUUCCCUUAAAACCAUAAUGUACAAGAAAAUGCCUUCACUCAUAUUCGUCCUGCUGAAACUUUACCUCAGUUCCAUCCUGCAAGUUGUCAGUAAACAAUCUAUUUAUUAAUUAUCCCUCGAUAAGGCAUGCUUUGGGCUCCAUUUGCUGCCUGCUCUACUCACUUUCCCAUAUCCCACUUGAAAAAACCUCGUAGUUAGCUGACACCUCUUGCUCUGAAAUGCCUGAACGUGACAAGUAAAAUAAAAGCAAUAUGAACAAGUGCUGCUUGAUGUGUGGAAUAAAGUUGGUAAUUGCAUUCAUCAUUUCUAAUUAUCUACCUAUUAAGCUUGUCCAAGACGCUCAUCUAUCAACUAAGGGGCUCUUGGAAAGAAAUCCUUUGUAAUUAUGGGGGUUUAUUUACUAGCUUUCAUUCAUUUGUGAGUUGCAAAGUUGUGAAUGAUUAUUAAUCCUGCUCGGUAAACUUGGUUUGCUCCUAUAGCUUUGUAGUAUGGUGCAAAAAUGUGAUAUUCAAAUGUUUGCUCAAGGACUCAGGUAAUGGUCUUGCAGACCAGACUAUGCAGUCGUGUACCUACAGAAUGCACAAGGUUAAUAAAUC